Molecule: ribosomal RNA, 441 nt
Filed under: uncultured bacterium
Lineage: Bacteria
Description: partial 16S ribosomal RNA
Rfam family: Bacterial small subunit ribosomal RNA
Source: RNAcentral
CCUACGGGAGGCAGCAGUGGGGAAUAUUUCACAAUGGGGGAAACCCUGAUGCAGCGACGCCGCGUGCGUGAAGAAGUACUUCGGUAUGUAAAGCGCUUUCAUCAGGGAAGAAGAAAGACGGUACCUGACUAAGAAGCUCCGGCUAACUACGUGCCAGCAGCCGCGGUAAUACGUAGGGGGCAAGAGUUAUCCGGAUUUACGGGGGGUAAAGGGUGCGUAGACGGCUGUGCAAGUCUGAAGUGAAAGCCCAGGGCUCAACCCUGGGACUGUUUUGGAAACUGUGGAGCUAGAGUGCGGGAGAGGUAAGUGGAAUUCCUAGUGUAGCGGUGAAAUGCGUAGAUAUUAGGAGGAACACCAGUGGCGUAGGCGGCUUACUGGACAGGAACUGACGUUGAGGCUCGAAAGCGUAGGGAGCAAACAGGAUUAGAUACCCCAGUAGUC